Molecule: ribosomal RNA, 601 nt
Filed under: Pseudomonadales bacterium
Lineage: Bacteria; Pseudomonadati; Pseudomonadota; Gammaproteobacteria; Pseudomonadales
Description: bacterial SSU rRNA
Rfam family: Bacterial small subunit ribosomal RNA
Source: RNAcentral
UUGCGCAAUGGGCGAAAGCCUGACGCAGCCACGCCGCGUGCCGGAUGAAGGCCCUAUGGGUUGUAAACGGCUUUUAAGCAGGAAGAACGACCGGAUUUCGAUCUGGUGUGACGGUACUGCUUGAAUAAGCACCGGCUAACUCCGUGCCAGCAGCCGCGGUAAUACGGAGGGUGCAAGCGUUGUCCGGAAUCAUUGGGUGUAAAGGGUGCGUAGGCGGGCGUCUAAGUCUGGGGUGAAAUCUUGCCGCUUAACGGUAAAAUGGCCUUGGAUACUGGGCGUCUUGAGUGUAGAAGAGGUAAGUGGAAUUCGUAGUGUAGCGGUGAAAUGCAUAGAUAUUACGAAGAACAUCAGUGGCGAAGGCGGCUUACUGGUCUACAACUGACGCUGAGGCACGAAAGCGUGGGGAGCGAACAGGAUUAGAUACCCUGGUAGUCCACGCUGUAAACGAUGCAUACUAGGUGUUGGCCUUUCGGGGCCAGUGCUGCAGUUAACGCAUUAAGUAUGCCACCUGGGGAGUACGUCGGCAACGAUGAAACUCAAAGGAAUUGACGGGGGCCCGCACAAGCGGUGGAGCAUGUGGCUUAAUUCGAUGCAACGCGAG